This is a long non-coding RNA of Gadus morhua (Atlantic cod), 3477 nucleotides long. RefSeq lists it as uncharacterized. Lineage: Eukaryota; Metazoa; Chordata; Actinopteri; Gadiformes; Gadidae. The record is from RefSeq and is a predicted model, not a curated record. The transcript has 2 exons.
AUACGCUCUCUGAACAUGAACUUUAUGCUGUUGUCUCUUCUCUGCUACUUCCGUUGUAUCACUAGCGGACUGCGCUUGGAUGUAAAAAAUGUCGCUUUCUUUCCUGUUCUGACUAAAAAACAAAUGUAAUUCGUCCUAUGAUGUUUGGUGAGAUACGUUCAGCCUUCCGACCACCUCUGACAGAGGCGCUUGGCGACAGUCGCCGCCUCUCAGCCUCUCUGUCUGAGGCGUUGAUCCCCCAGAGGCGAAAGGAGCUCCAUGGAAGAAGAGACAGAGCACGUAGCCGCUGAGAAAAAUCCCUCCGAUAAGGGUGCCUCCUCCUUCAAUGUCGCACCGUGGUUUGGAGAUAGCAUAGCGUCCGAUAUGUGUGCGUAUCCUCUCGCCACAAUGACCCUUUCAUCCGAUUCGCCCCGACGUCGCUCCAAACGGCGGGCCACCAGCCGGGAAAUAAAGAUGGGGCGAAAUGAGGGGAAUGGUAUCAAGGAUCUACCUAUUCGACGCCCAGGUGUCACGUUGGAAGGUUGUCUAUUUUUACCCAAUGGAAUAUAAAGCUUGAUUCCGAAAUCUAUUUGGUCAAAUAGUUCCAUGACAAAGAUGUGAACGAAUUGCAUACGGAUCUUGGGAUCUUGAGCUCCACAUGGGAAGAGUGGCAUCAAGACUAAAGUCGACCAAUAAACCAUAGCUGCAGGGCAUUUCUUUUUUGUAAUGUUGAUUGUUACUGUUAAUAUUGGUUCCAACUUAAAAUAUAACGUACUAUGACACCGUGAUUUGCACCUAGGCCAAACCUACCAUUCAAUUUCCACCUUCUGCAUUCUGCAUUUGUCCUACUGGAAUCGUGGCUCGUGCGGUUCGGUUAUUUACACGUUGGACGGGUUUGUCUCCACCCCGGGCUAUCAUAACUUCCCUUAGAAUACUGGAAAGCCUACCAUUUUCACCCACUAGGGAAGAGUAAAAGUUAAAGGGCUAUUAGGGUUUACGUGCUGAUUAAAAGUGUAUCAUAAACAUUUUCAUCAGGGUUGCUUAUUGCUCUGUAGCCCACUGCAAAGCAAUAAAUGAACUGUCUCAUUCCAGGUUAGGUCUGUAACCAGGACUUGUUAACCAAUGUAAUACAUUGGGCCUAGCCCCUUUAAGAUCCCAAAUGUAUUUAGUUGAUGUAGUUUACACAUGCAUACUUGUGUAAACAUGCUUGUAUAGCCGUUAUUCUGCAGGAAAAUGGAAGCUAUGCUAUUUCUCAAAUGAAUAAAUGAAACAUCAAAUUAGGCCUGAGGGCCUAUUUUUUUCCACUUCUACAUUAUAACUAGUUAUUGAACUAGGUGCACAAUCUGAAAGCCAUUUGUGGGAUGAAAGAAUUCAUUGCAGUUUCUCCAUCAAUAAUCCUUGGCAGUGAACUAUUGGAAGCAGUCACACGCGAGGGGUGAGACGCAGGUCAGGCUGUCUAACUAAUAUUAAAAUGCGCCCACAAAAAUAGUAGGCCGAGGAAGGGGGUAUGGUAUGCAUGUAUGGGUUUUCUUUGGGUUAUAAAAACAACCAAACAAAAACAGACAAACAGACAAAUAUUUCAUGACUUGCAUGCCUAAACGAGCAACACAUCUGCUGGAUAUUUCGGGGUUGGUUCCCUGUAGAAGCCGUAUCCUCGCCUCUUUUUUUUUUAUCAUAAUACAAAAUAGACAGCCAAAUUUUGCAAGCAGAUUAGCUUAUUUGUAAAGGCAUUUCAAUUUCCCAUGUGUAUUAUGUUUUUAAUCAAUUCAAUUGAUUCACGAGUAGCCCAUGUUUUACCUUCAAUAACACAGAAUCAGGCCACAUAUCUUCAAUUCAUUUUUCAUCCGGGCUUUUCUCAUUAGCUUCUAGGACGACAGGAAGAAAGGUUACCGAGCGGUCAGUAUGGUAAUAGAAAGCAGAAGAAAUCGUUGAGAACAAAAGAAACUUAUUUUUCAUCUGCGCUGUCACCAGACCCUUUUGUAUCGGCAGAGUUUGUGACUGAAUAUUAAUAUAAGAGCUAGCCCAAAAGCAGUUGUUAAAUGUGGGGAGAGAAACCACUUCCCUCCUUUAUCCUGUUUUGUGUGAGCGUGCAUAUGCAUGUAUUUAUAUCCGUGCCCGAAUUGUAUCUAUUUUGAAACCAUGGUGCAGAAGAUGUGAGUACGACUAAAUAUUGAAAACGUAACAUUUAUUAGGCUUAUGUAUAUAUCCUAAAAUAAUCCCUUAAGAAAUCACCACACCGCAGCUCCUAUAACAUACUCACACACUAGUUGUCUAUGUGUACCCUGUAGAACCGAAUUUGUGUUCAGUACAUAUCAUCGCAAAUACGUCUCUACAGGAAUACAUGGGCAACUGAAUUGCUACGCAAGAGAAUUGAUUUAUCUAUCUGCUAUUUUUUUCCAAGGCCUUAUUUUCGUGUCUCUGUGUAUUUUAUGCAGCAUACAUUGGCAUGCAACCUCAGUUUUCUAUUAGCAAAAGCAGCAGAGCAACAUAGUCCCAAAGUGUUUUCCUAGUCAUAACAUCAACAGCCUAGCUAUGGCUAGAGUGAGCAGACCCAUCUGCAGGAGUGUGUCAGACCCUGUAAAACAAGCAAGCUACUGCAGAUCGUUUUAAAGUGACUGAUUUACGGGUUUUAUUGCUCUAUAAAACGCCUCUAACAUCCUUGCAAGGGGGUAAUAGAAAUGUUGUGUAUUCUGUUUUCUCUGGGAAGGUUUAAAUGUGUACCACCAUCAGUAGAUUUUUAUUAUUUAUUUAUCUAUAGAUUAUAAUAUGGCCAUAACACUCCCUUUAGUUGCACUGAAGAUAGAUACCUCUUUACUUUAACAUUGGUGCAGAACAACUCCACCGCUAACUUUCAAGCCUAAACGCAAAUCUGCUACUGUUGGAAAGUACACGGGUAGGCAUUCAGAUCAACACAAUGUUGUCUUGUUGCUGCUGUACCUCAACACCCACAACAAUAACAAAAACAACAACAACAACAACAACUUGCCCUAUAUUUGAAACUACUUGCACCACUGCUUCCACUACGAGAUUCGGGGCUGAUGUACUAUGAUGAUUCAUUCUUGUUUUUCUUUUGAAUAUAAUGGUUAUUAUGAUUACAACUGUUAUUUUUGCCAUGAAUCGGUUUCAUCUGCAUAGGCUGGUGCUGUAAAGUAUGUAAGUUGUCUAUUCGUGUAUAUUAACGCAUAUGCUCAACAAAUCGGAUCACAGUUUGGCGAAAAGCAAAAUGUGUGAACAAAGCAGUAUUACGAAAUUGUGUUAGGGAUAACACAAUAUCCCAUGUGCAAGGAAGAGCAAAACAUAUUAUUCCAUUUUCCCAGGUUCGGCUGUCGCUGCUCCUGCUUAUGGUCUAUCAUGUAUAGUUUGCAUACUGCCUCUCUGUUGUCUCCGGUGGAACCAGGCAGUUGAUCAUUGUUAAGUGGAUAACAGUCUACCAAACUAAGUUAUGUUGUUUGUGAAUUAGUCACUAUUAUAAAUAAAGUAACUCCUUACUUAAUUGAU